UACGUAGGCGGAAAAUUAAGUCAGUAGUGAAAUCCCACAGCUUAACUGUGGAACUGUUAUUGAUACUGGUUUUCUUGAAUAUAGUUGAGGUAGGCGGAAUGUGUAAUGUAGCGGUGAAACGCUUAGAUAUUACACAGAACACCGAUUGCGAAGGCAGCUUACUAAGCUAUGAUUGACGCUGAGGUACGAAAGCGUGGGGAGCGAACAGGAUUAGAUACCCUGGUAGUCC
Molecule: ribosomal RNA, 229 nt
Filed under: uncultured bacterium
Lineage: Bacteria
Description: partial 16S ribosomal RNA
Rfam family: Bacterial small subunit ribosomal RNA
Source: RNAcentral